RNAcentral lists this ribosomal RNA (460 nucleotides) under uncultured bacterium. RNAcentral's name for it is "partial 16S ribosomal RNA". It matches the Rfam family "Bacterial small subunit ribosomal RNA", at positions 338 to 795 of the family's 1533-position model. The record is from RNAcentral.
CCUACGGGGGGCAGCAUUGAGGAAUAUUGGUCAAUGGCCGCGAGGCUGAACCAGCCAAGUCGCGUGAGGGAUGACUGCCCAAAGCGUUGUAGACUUCUUUUAUAGAGGAAUAAAGUGAGGCACGCGUGCCUUUUUGUGUGUACUUUAUGAAUAAGGAUCGGCUAACUCCGUGCCAGCAGCCGCGGUAAUACGGAGGAUCCGAGCGUUAUCCGGAUUUAUUGGGUUUAAAGGGUGCGUAGAUGGGUUGUUAAGUCAGUGGUGAAAUUUUGCGGCUCAAACGUGCAAGUGCAUUUGAUACUGGCAGUCUUGAGUGCAGUUGAGUCAGGCGGAAUGCGUGGUGUAGCGGUGAAAUGCAUAGAGAUCACGAAGAACUCCGAUUGCGAAGGCAGCGUACCAAGCUGCCACUGACGCUGAUGCACGAAAGUGUGGGGAUCAAACAGGAUUAGAUACCCGAGUAGUC